Pelobates cultripes (western spadefoot toad) is the source of this 342-nucleotide non-coding RNA. NCBI's taxonomy places the organism in Eukaryota, Metazoa, Chordata, Amphibia, Anura, Pelobatidae. The record is from the annotation of a GenBank genome assembly.
UGUAGGUGGAAGCAGCAGUGGAGGAGGAGGAUGAGGUAGCCAACACUGUUUUUUUUUAUUUUUUUAUUGUGAUAGCCCACAAAAUAUUGGGACAUAUAAAAAAAGACAACUAUGUUCCGCAGAGUAACUGUUGACAUUAUAGUUGCACAGGAACUUUGCUGACUCUAGAGAACCUCAGGCAAAUCGCACAUCACCGUGGCGGUGACUUUGCAUGAGGAUGUCAUCCAUAUCAACUUUCGAUGCCAGUUUCUGUGUCUACCAUGGCCAUGGGUAACGGGGAAUCAGGGUUCCAUUUCAUACAAGGACCCUGAGAAAUGGCUACCACAUGCAAGGAAGGCAGCA